GGCUCUUUGAUNUUUCAGUAUAAAGAGUCCAACCUGCCCAGUGAUUUUUUUUUAACGGCCGCAGUAUAUUAACUGUGCUAAGGUAGCAUAAUAAUUUGUUCUAUAAUUGAGGACUGGAAUGAAUGGUUUCACAAGAGCAAAGCUGUCUCUUUCACAUUUAGUUGAAUUUUACUUUCAGAUGAAGAGGUCUGAAUAAAAUUAAAAGACAAGAAGACCCUAUCGAGCUUAAAAAAAAUUCAUAGAUUAAAAUAAUAUUAAUUAAAAAAUAACUAUUAAAAAUUUUGGUUGGGGCGACUGAGGAACCUAAAAAGCUUCCUUAAAACAUAAUUACUUACAUGUAUUGAUCCAAAAAUUUUGAUUAAUGAAAAUAGUUACCGUAGGGAUACCAGCAUUAUCUUCUUUAAGAGUUCAAAUCGAAAAGAAGGUUUGUGACCUCGAUGUUGGACCAGAAUAUCCUAAAGGUGCGGAAGUCUUUAAGGGUGGGCCNGUCCNNCCAUUAAAAUUCU
Molecule: ribosomal RNA, 506 nt
Filed under: Crucibulum auricula
Lineage: Eukaryota; Metazoa; Mollusca; Gastropoda; Littorinimorpha; Calyptraeidae
Description: partial 16S ribosomal RNA
Rfam family: Bacterial large subunit ribosomal RNA
Source: RNAcentral